UGCAGUCGAGCGGUAACAUUUCAAAAGCUUGCUUUUGAAGAUGACGAGCGGCGGACGGGUGAGUAAUGGCUGGGAACCUGCCCUGACGUGGGGGAUAACAGUUGGAAACGACUGCUAAUACCGCAUGAUGUCUACGGACCAAAGAGGGGGAUCUUCGGACCUCUCGCGUCGGGAUGGGCCCAGUUGGGAUUAGCUAGUUGGUGAGGUAAUGGCUCACCAAGGCGACGAUCCCUAGCUGGUUUGAGAGGAUGAUCAGCCACACUGGAACUGAGACACGGUCCAGACUCCUACGGGAGGCAGCAGUGGGGAAUAUUGCACAAUGGGCGCAAGCCUGAUGCAGCCAUGCCGCGUGUGUGAAGAAGGCCUUCGGGUUGUAAAGCACUUUCAGCAGUGAAGAAGGUUGGUGCGUUAAUGGCGUAUCAAUUUGACGUUAGCUGCAGAAGAAGCACCGGCUAACUCCGUGCCAGCAACCGCGGUAAUACGGAGGGUGCGAGCGUUAAUCGGAAUUACUGGGCGUAAAGCGCAUGCAGGCGGUUUGUUAAGCAAGAUGUGAAAGCCCCGGGCUCAACCUGGGAACCGCAUUUUGAACUGGCAGGCUAGAGUCUUGUAGAGGGGGGUAGAAUUUCAGGUGUAGCGGUGAAAUGCGUAGAGAUCUGAAGGAAUACC
This 666-nucleotide ribosomal RNA is filed under the name uncultured Vibrio sp. Its description in RNAcentral is "bacterial SSU rRNA". It matches the Rfam family "Bacterial small subunit ribosomal RNA", at positions 56 to 710 of the family's 1533-position model. Lineage: Bacteria; Pseudomonadati; Pseudomonadota; Gammaproteobacteria; Vibrionales; Vibrionaceae. The record is from RNAcentral.